GGAGUGGGCCGAGCGGUCGCUGCGUUUUCGGCAUCGCCGAAAACGGGGAGGAAAGUCCGGGCUCCACAGGGCACGGUGGUGGGUAACGCCCACCGUCCGCAAGGACAGGGAAAGUGCCACAGAAAACAAACCGCCGCGCCGGUUCGCCGGUACGGUAAGGGUGAAAAGGUGCGGUAAGAGCGCACCGCGGCACGGGUGACCGGGCCGGCAGGGUAAACCCCACCGGGAGCAAGACCAAGCAGGGGGGACUGUGCCCGGCGUUUUCGCCGAGCACAACGGAUCGGUCCGAUCCGUCCGACUUCCGGGUGUGUCGCUCGAGGCGGCGGGCAAUCGCCGUCCUAGAAAAAUGACCGCUCUCGACAAAACCCGGCUUACAGGCCCACUCCGCGU
RNAcentral lists this RNase P RNA (390 nucleotides) under Planctomycetales bacterium 12-60-4. RNAcentral's name for it is "RNase P RNA component class A". It matches the Rfam family "Bacterial RNase P class A". From Rfam's summary of the family: Ribonuclease P (RNase P) is a ubiquitous endoribonuclease, found in archaea, bacteria and eukarya as well as chloroplasts and mitochondria. The record is from RNAcentral. Lineage: Bacteria; Pseudomonadati; Planctomycetota; Planctomycetia; Planctomycetales.